RNAcentral lists this transfer RNA (72 nucleotides) under Nocardiopsaceae bacterium. Its description in RNAcentral is "tRNA-Arg". It matches the Rfam family "tRNA". From Rfam's summary of the family: Transfer RNA (tRNA) molecules are approximately 80 nucleotides in length. Their secondary structure includes four short double-helical elements and three loops (D, anti-codon, and T loops). Lineage: Bacteria; Bacillati; Actinomycetota; Actinomycetes; Streptosporangiales; Nocardiopsidaceae. The record is from RNAcentral.
GCCCCCAUAGCUCAGGGGAUAGAGCACCGGUCUCCGGAACCGGGUGCGCAGGUUCGAAUCCUGCUGGGGGCA